GUGAUCUUUCUCUGCUCCUACACUACUACUCUUGAUUUCUUGGGACUUUAACUCUUUCAUGUAUAUAUAUUCCUUCUUGGUUUUGAUAUGUUUACAUAUGGCUUAAAGGGUUAAUUAUUUAUCUUUCUAUGUUUUGUUAUGUUUGUUUGUUUGGUGCAUGGGAAAAUGAGGGGAUUAAUUAACAAAGAAAAAUUAAGAGAGAAAAUUUCUUGUGUCCG
RNAcentral lists this unclassified non-coding RNA (218 nucleotides) under Hevea brasiliensis (rubber tree). Lineage: Eukaryota; Viridiplantae; Streptophyta; Magnoliopsida; Malpighiales; Euphorbiaceae. The record is from RNAcentral.